UACGGAGGGUGCGAGCGUUGUCCGGAAUCACUGGGCGUAAAGGGCGCGUAGGCGGCCUGAUAAGUAGGGGGUGAAAUCCUGCGGCUUAACCGCAGGGCUGCCUUCUAAACUGUCAGGCUGGAGCACAGUAGAGGCAGGUGGAAUUCCCGGUGUAGCGGUGGAAUGCGUAGAGAUCGGGAAGAACAUCAGUGGCGAAGGCGGCCUGCUGGGCUGUUGCUGACGCUGAGGCGCGACAGCGUGGGGAGCGAACCGG
This 253-nucleotide ribosomal RNA is filed under the name uncultured bacterium. RNAcentral's name for it is "partial 16S ribosomal RNA". It matches the Rfam family "Bacterial small subunit ribosomal RNA", at positions 524 to 776 of the family's 1533-position model. The record is from RNAcentral.